Oncorhynchus tshawytscha (Chinook salmon) is the source of this 380-nucleotide long non-coding RNA. The record is from Ensembl. Lineage: Eukaryota; Metazoa; Chordata; Actinopteri; Salmoniformes; Salmonidae.
GGAAAAGAGAGAGGAAGAAGAGAAUGAGGAGGGGAAAAGAGAGAGGAAGAAGAAGAGAAUGAGGAGGGGAAAACAGAGAGGAAGAAGAAGAGAAUGAGGAGGGGAAAAGAGAGAGGAAGAAGACGAGAAUGAGGAGGGGAAAAGAGAGAGGAAGAAGACGAGAAUGAGGAGGGGAAAAGAGAGAGGAGGAGGAAGAGAAUGAGGAGGGGAAAAGAAAGAGGAAGAAGAAGAGAAUGAGGAGGGGGAAAAGAGAGAGGAAGAAGAGAAUGAUGAGGGGAAAAGAGAGAGGAAGAAGAGAGUGAGGAGGAGGAAAAGAGAGAGGAAGAAGAAGAAUGGGGAGGGGGAAAAGAGAGAGGAGGAAGAGAAUGAUGAGGGGGAAA